RNAcentral lists this ribosomal RNA (256 nucleotides) under uncultured bacterium. RNAcentral's name for it is "partial 16S ribosomal RNA". It matches the Rfam family "Bacterial small subunit ribosomal RNA", at positions 524 to 776 of the family's 1533-position model. The record is from RNAcentral.
UACAGAGGUCUCAAGCGUUGUUCGGAUUCAUUGGGCGUAAAGGGUGCGUAGGUGGCGGGGGUAAGUCAGGUGUGAAAUCUCGGGGGCUCAACCCCGAAACUGCACUUGAUACUGCCUUGCUUGAGUACUGGAGAGGAGAUUGGAAUUUACGGUGUAGCAGUGAAAAUGCGUAGAUAUCGUAAGGAAGACCAGUGGCGAAGGCGAAUCUCUGGACAGUUACUGACACUGAGCACGAAGGGCCAGGGGAGCAAACGGG